AAAAAGUUAGUUAAAAAUAACAUAAAUUUGUCAAAUUUAAAUUACUAUAUUUAUUAGUACUUUUUA
RNAcentral lists this transfer RNA (66 nucleotides) under Octopus salutii. Its description in RNAcentral is "tRNA-Asp". The record is from RNAcentral. Lineage: Eukaryota; Metazoa; Mollusca; Cephalopoda; Octopoda; Octopodidae.